RNAcentral lists this ribosomal RNA (118 nucleotides) under Papio anubis (olive baboon). Lineage: Eukaryota; Metazoa; Chordata; Mammalia; Primates; Cercopithecidae. The record is from RNAcentral.
GUCUACGGCCAUACACUCCGAACGCACCCAAUCUUGUCUGACCUCAGAAGCUGCGCAGGGUGGGACCUCAUUAGUACUUCGAUGGGAAACUGCCUGGGAAUACAAGACGCUGUAGGCC